GGCUUGCCGGGGGAGUAAAGUGGCGAACGGGUGAGUAACGCGUGGGUAACCUGCCCUUGAAUCUGGAAUAACCCGCCGAAAGGCGGACUAAUACCGGAUAUCGUCCUGGAGUCGCAUGGCACUGGGACGAAAGAUGACCUCUUCACGAAAGUUGUCGUUCAGGGAGGGGCUCGCGUACCAUUAGCUAGUUGGUAGGGUAAUGGCCUACCAAGGCGACGAUGGUUAGCUGGUCUGAGAGGAUGAUCAGCCACACUGGAACUGAAACACGGUCCAGACUCCUACGGGAGGCAGCAGUGAGGAAUUUUGCGCAAUAGGGGAAACCCUGACGCAGCAACGCCGCGUGAGUGAAGAAGGCCUUCGGGUCGUAAAGCUCUGUCAAGCGGGACAAAGUUCUGCGAGUGAAUAGCUCGCAGGAGUGAUGGUACUGCUAGAGGAAGCACCGGCUAACUCCGUGCCAGCAGCCGCGGUAAUACGGAGGGUGCAAGCGUUGUUCGGAAUUACUGGGCGUAAAGCGCGUGCAGGCGGUUCGGUAAGUCAGAUGUGAAAGCCCUGGGCUCAACCCAGGAAGUGCAUUUGAAACUGCCGUGCUAGAGUAUGGGAGAGGAGAGUGGAAUUCC
Molecule: ribosomal RNA, 617 nt
Filed under: uncultured delta proteobacterium
Lineage: Bacteria; Deltaproteobacteria
Description: bacterial SSU rRNA
Rfam family: Bacterial small subunit ribosomal RNA
Source: RNAcentral